This is a non-coding RNA of Oryza barthii, 205 nucleotides long. The record is from Rfam. NCBI's taxonomy places the organism in Eukaryota, Viridiplantae, Streptophyta, Magnoliopsida, Poales, Poaceae.
AAUAGAUGACGCCGUUGCACUUUUUCUCACAUGUUUGACCAUUCAUCUUAUUCAAAAAAUUUACGUAAUUAUAAUUUAUUUUGUUAUGAGGUGUUUUAUCACUCAUAGUACUUUAAGUGUGAUUUAUAUCUUAUAUAUUUGCAUAAAUUUUUUGAAUAAGACGAAUAGUCAAACAUGUGAGAAAAAGUCAACGGCAUCAUCUAUU